RNAcentral lists this ribosomal RNA (840 nucleotides) under Microbacterium sp. RNAcentral describes it as "bacterial SSU rRNA". It matches the Rfam family "Bacterial small subunit ribosomal RNA", at positions 251 to 1102 of the family's 1533-position model. Lineage: Bacteria; Bacillati; Actinomycetota; Actinomycetes; Micrococcales; Microbacteriaceae. The record is from RNAcentral.
GGUGAGGUAAUGGCUCACCAAGGCGUCGACGGGUAGCCGGCCUGAGAGGGUGACCGGCCACACUGGGACUGAGACACGGCCCAGACUCCUACGGGAGGCAGCAGUGGGGAAUAUUGCACAAUGGGCGAAAGCCUGAUGCAGCAACGCCGCGUGAGGGAUGACGGCCUUCGGGUUGUAAACCUCUUUUAGCAGGGAAGAAGCGAAAGUGACGGUACCUGCAGAAAAAGCGCCGGCUAACUACGUGCCAGCAGCCGCGGUAAUACGUAGGGCGCAAGCGUUAUCCGGAAUUAUUGGGCGUAAAGAGCUCGUAGGCGGUUUGUCGCGUCUGCUGUGAAAUCCCGAGGCUCAACCUCGGGCCUGCAGUGGGUACGGGCAGACUAGAGUGCGGUAGGGGAGAUUGGAAUUCCUGGUGUAGCGGUGGAAUGCGCAGAUAUCAGGAGGAACACCGAUGGCGAAGGCAGAUCUCUGGGCCGUAACUGACGCUGAGGAGCGAAAGGGUGGGGAGCAAACAGGCUUAGAUACCCUGGUAGUCCACCCCGUAAACGUUGGGAACUAGUUGUGGGGACCAUUCCACGGUUUCCGUGACGCAGCUAACGCAUUAAGUUCCCCGCCUGGGGAGUACGGCCGCAAGGCUAAAACUCAAAGGAAUUGACGGGGACCCGCACAAGCGGCGGAGCAUGCGGAUUAAUUCGAUGCAACGCGAAGAACCUUACCAAGGCUUGACAUACACCAGAACGGGCCAGAAAUGGUCAACUCUUUGGACACUGGUGAACAGGUGGUGCAUGGUUGUCGUCAGCUCGUGUCGUGAGAUGUUGGGUUAAGUCCCGCAACGAGCGCAAC